UGGAGAUUAGCUAAAAUUGUAGAGCGCUCGCUUAGCAUGCGAGAGGUAGCGAGAUCGAUCCCUGCAUCCUCUA
This 73-nucleotide transfer RNA is filed under the name Lepisosteus oculatus (spotted gar). It matches the Rfam family "tRNA". From Rfam's summary of the family: Transfer RNA (tRNA) molecules are approximately 80 nucleotides in length. Their secondary structure includes four short double-helical elements and three loops (D, anti-codon, and T loops). Further hydrogen bonds mediate the characteristic L-shaped molecular structure. tRNAs have two regions of fundamental functional importance: the anti-codon, which is responsible for specific mRNA codon recognition, and the 3' end, to which the tRNAs corresponding amino acid is attached (by aminoacyl-tRNA synthetases). tRNAs cope with the degeneracy of the genetic code in two manners: having more than one tRNA (with a specific anti-codon) for a particular amino acid; and 'wobble' base-pairing, i.e. permitting non-standard base-pairing at the 3rd anti-codon position. Lineage: Eukaryota; Metazoa; Chordata; Actinopteri; Semionotiformes; Lepisosteidae. The record is from Rfam by way of RNAcentral.